RNAcentral lists this ribosomal RNA (254 nucleotides) under uncultured bacterium. RNAcentral describes it as "partial 16S ribosomal RNA". It matches the Rfam family "Bacterial small subunit ribosomal RNA", at positions 524 to 776 of the family's 1533-position model. The record is from RNAcentral.
UACGUAGGGUGCAAGCGUUGUCCGGAAUUAUUGGGCGUAAAGAGCUCGUAGGCGGUGUGUCACGUCGGCCGUGAAAACCUGCAGCUUAACUGUGGGCGUGCGGUCGAUACGGGCAUCACUGGAGUUCGGCAGGGGAGACUGGAAUUCCUGGUGUAGCGGUGAAAUGCGCAGAUAUCAGGAGGAACACCGGUGGCGAAGGCGGGUCUCUGGGCCGAUACUGACGCUGAGGCACGAAGGCGUGGGGAGCGAACGGG